This 1573-nucleotide ribosomal RNA is filed under the name Lactobacillus crispatus. RNAcentral's name for it is "bacterial SSU rRNA". It matches the Rfam family "Bacterial small subunit ribosomal RNA". The record is from RNAcentral. Lineage: Bacteria; Bacillati; Bacillota; Bacilli; Lactobacillales; Lactobacillaceae.
UUAAAAUGAGAGUUUGAUCCUGGCUCAGGACGAACGCUGGCGGCGUGCCUAAUACAUGCAAGUCGAGCGAGCGGAACUAACAGAUUUACUUCGGUAAUGACGUUAGGAAAGCGAGCGGCGGAUGGGUGAGUAACACGUGGGGAACCUGCCCCAUAGUCUGGGAUACCACUUGGAAACAGGUGCUAAUACCGGAUAAGAAAGCAGAUCGCAUGAUCAGCUUUUAAAAGGCGGCGUAAGCUGUCGCUAUGGGAUGGCCCCGCGGUGCAUUAGCUAGUUGGUAAGGUAAAGGCUUACCAAGGCGAUGAUGCAUAGCCGAGUUGAGAGACUGAUCGGCCACAUUGGGACUGAGACACGGCCCAAACUCCUACGGGAGGCAGCAGUAGGGAAUCUUCCACAAUGGACGCAAGUCUGAUGGAGCAACGCCGCGUGAGUGAAGAAGGUUUUCGGAUCGUAAAGCUCUGUUGUUGGUGAAGAAGGAUAGAGGUAGUAACUGGCCUUUAUUUGACGGUAAUCAACCAGAAAGUCACGGCUAACUACGUGCCAGCAGCCGCGGUAAUACGUAGGUGGCAAGCGUUGUCCGGAUUUAUUGGGCGUAAAGCGAGCGCAGGCGGAAGAAUAAGUCUGAUGUGAAAGCCCUCGGCUUAACCGAGGAACUGCAUCGGAAACUGUUUUUCUUGAGUGCAGAAGAGGAGAGUGGAACUCCAUGUGUAGCGGUGGAAUGCGUAGAUAUAUGGAAGAACACCAGUGGCGAAGGCGGCUCUCUGGUCUGCAACUGACGCUGAGGCUCGAAAGCAUGGGUAGCGAACAGGAUUAGAUACCCUGGUAGUCCAUGCCGUAAACGAUGAGUGCUAAGUGUUGGGAGGUUUCCGCCUCUCAGUGCUGCAGCUAACGCAUUAAGCACUCCGCCUGGGGAGUACGGCCGCAAGGUUGAAACUCAAAGGAAUUGACGGGGGCCCGCACAAGCGGUGGAGCAUGUGGUUUAAUUCGAAGCAACGCGAAGAACCUUACCAGGUCUUGACAUCUAGUGCCAUUUGUAGAGAUACAAAGUUCCCUUCGGGGACGCUAAGACAGGUGGUGCAUGGCUGUCGUCAGCUCGUGUCGUGAGAUGUUGGGUUAAGUCCCGCAACGAGCGCAACCCUUGUUAUUAGUUGCCAGCAUUAAGUUGGGCACUCUAAUGAGACUGCCGGUGACAAACCGGAGGAAGGUGGGGAUGACGUCAAGUCAUCAUGCCCCUUAUGACCUGGGCUACACACGUGCUACAAUGGGCAGUACAACGAGAAGCGAGCCUGCGAAGGCAAGCGAAUCUCUGAAAGCUGUUCUCAGUUCGGACUGCAGUCUGCAACUCGACUGCACGAAGCUGGAAUCGCUAGUAAUCGCGGAUCAGCACGCCGCGGUGAAUACGUUCCCGGGCCUUGUACACACCGCCCGUCACACCAUGGGAGUCUGCAAUGCCCAAAGCCGGUGGCCUAACCUUCGGGAAGGAGCCGUCUAAGGCAGGGCAGAUGACUGGGGUGAAGUCGUAACAAGGUAGCCGUAGGAGAACCUGCGGCUGGAUCACCUCCUUUCUAAGGAA